UCCUACGGGAGGCAGCAGUGAGGAAUAUUGGCCAAUGGAGGCAACUCUGAUCCAGCCAUGCCGCGUGCAGGAAGACUGCCCUAUGGGUUGUAAACUGCUUUUAUAGAGGAAGAAACCUCCCUUCGUGAAGGGAAUUGACGGUACUCUACGAAUAAGGAUCGGCUAACUCCGUGCCAGCAGCCGCGGUAAUACGGAGGAUCCAAGCGUUAUCCGGAAUCAUUGGGUUUAAAGGGUCCGUAGGCGGACUAAUAAGUCAGUGGUGAAAGUCUGCAGCUCAACUGUAGAAUUGCCAUUGAUACUGUUAGUCUUGAGUCAUUAUGAAGUGGUUAGAAUGAGUGGUGUAGCGGUGAAAUGCAUAGAUAUCACUCAGAAUACCGAUUGCGAAGGCAGAUCACUAAUAAUGUACUGACGCUGAUGGACGAAAGCGUAGGUAGCGAACAGGAUUAGAUACCCUGGUAGUCUACGCCGUAAACGAUGGUUACUAGCUGUUUGGUCGAUUGAGACUGAGUGGCUAAGCGAAAGUGAUAAGUAACCCACCUGGGGAGUACGUUCGCAAGAAUGAAACUCAAAGGAAUUGACGGGGGCCCGCACAAGCGGUGGAGCAUGUGGUUUAAUUCGAUGAUACGCGAGGAACCUUACCAGGGCUUAAAUGUAGUCUGACAGAUUUGGAAACAGAUUUUUCUUCGGACAGAUUACAAGGUGCUGCAUGGUUGUCGUCAGCUCGUGCCGUGAGGUGUCAGGUUAAGUCCUAUAACGAGCGCAACCCCUGUGGUUAGUUGCCAGCGAGUCAAGUCGGGAACUCUAGCCAGACUGCCGGUGCAAACCGUGAGGAAGGUGGGGAUGACGUCAAAUCAUCACGGCCCUUACGUCCUGGGCCACACACGUGCUACAAUGGUAGGGACAGAGAGCAGCCACUUCGCGAGAAGGAGCGAAUCUUCAAACCCUAUCACAGUUCGGAUCGCAGUCUGCAACUCGACUGCGUGAAGCUGGAAUCGCUAGUAAUCGGAUAUCAGCCAUGAUCCGGUGAAUACGUUCCCGGGCCU
Molecule: ribosomal RNA, 1043 nt
Filed under: Mesonia algae
Lineage: Bacteria; Pseudomonadati; Bacteroidota; Flavobacteriia; Flavobacteriales; Flavobacteriaceae
Description: bacterial SSU rRNA
Rfam family: Bacterial small subunit ribosomal RNA
Source: RNAcentral